RNAcentral lists this ribosomal RNA (252 nucleotides) under uncultured bacterium. RNAcentral's name for it is "partial 16S ribosomal RNA". It matches the Rfam family "Bacterial small subunit ribosomal RNA", at positions 524 to 775 of the family's 1533-position model. The record is from RNAcentral.
UACGUAGGGUGCAAGCGUUGUCCGGAUUUAUUGGGCGUAAAGAGCUCGUAGGCGGCUUGUUGCGUCAGCUGUGAAAAACCCGCAGCUCAACUGUGGGCUUGCAGCUGAUACGGGCAGGCUUGAGUUCGGUAGGGAGACUGGAAUUCCUGGUGUAGCGGUGAAAUGCGUAGAGAUCCGGAGGAACACCAAAGGCGAAGGCAGUGUCCUGGGGAGUACCUGACGCUCAGGUGCGAAAGCCAGGGGAGCGAACGG